CCUGACUGCUAUCGGAUUGAUACUAAGCCAUGCGAGUCAUUGUAGCAAUACAAGGCAGACGGCUCAGUAACGCGUAGUCAACCUACCUUAUGGACGGGGAUAACCUCGGGAAACUGAGAAUAAUACCCGAUAGAACAUUAUACCUGGAAUGGUUUAUGUUUCAAAUAAUUUAUUGCCGUAAGAUGGGACUGCGGCCUAUCAGUUUGUUGGUGAGGUAAUGGCCCACCAAGACUAUUACAGGUACGGGCUCUGAGAGGAGUAGCCCAGAGAUGGGUACUGAGACACGGACCCAGGCCCUAUGGGGCGCAGCAGGCGAGAAAACUUUGCAAUGUGCGAAAGCACGACAAGGUUAAUCCGAGUGGUUUCUGCUAAAGGAACCUUUUGUCAGUCCUAGAAACACUAACGAAUAAGGGGUGGGCAAGUUCUGGUGUCAGCCGCCGCGGUAAAACCAGCACCUCAAGUGGUCAGGAUGAUUAUUGGGCCUAAAGCAUCCGUAGCCUGCUUUGUUAGUUUUCGGUUAAAUCCAUACGCUCAACGUAUGGGCUGCCGGGAAUACUGCAAAGCUAGGGAGUGGGAGAGGUAGACGGUACUCGGUAGGAAGGGGUAAAAUCCUUUGAUCUAUUGAUAACCACCUGUGGCGAAGGCGGUCUACCAGAACACGUCCGACGGUGAGGGAUGAAAGCUGGGGGAGCAAACCGGAUUAGAUACCCGGGUAGUCCCAGCUGUAAACUAUGCAAACUCGGUGAUGCAUUGGCUUGAUGCCAAUGCAGUGCCGCAGGGAAGCCGUUAAGUUUGCCGCCUGGGAAGUACGUACGCAAGUAUGAAACUUAAAGGAAUUGGCGGGGGAGCACCACAAGGGGUGAAGCCUGCGUUC
RNAcentral lists this ribosomal RNA (874 nucleotides) under uncultured archaeon. Its description in RNAcentral is "bacterial SSU rRNA". It matches the Rfam family "Archaeal small subunit ribosomal RNA", at positions 21 to 902 of the family's 1478-position model. The record is from RNAcentral.